CCAAUAGCGUAUAUUAAAGUUGUUGCAGUUAAAAAGCUCGUAGUUGAAUUUCGGGAUCAAUACGUCGGUCGUGCCUCUGGUAUGUACUGGUGUUAUUGAUUCCUCCUUUCUGAUGAACCAUGAUGUCAUUAAUUUGGUGUUGUGGGAAGUCAGGACUGUUACUUUGAAAAAAUUAGAGUGUUUAAAGCAGGCCUACGCUUGAAUACAUUAGCAUGGAAUAAUGAAAUAGGACGUUCGAACCUAUUUUGUUGGUUUCUAGGAUCAACGUAAUGAUUAAUAGGGAUAGUUGGGGGCAUUAGUAUUCAAUUGUCAGAGGUGAAAUUCUUGGAUUUAUUGAAGACUGACUACUGCGAAAGCAUUUGCCAAGGAUGUUUUCAUUAAUCAAGAACGAAAGUUAGGGGAUCGAAGACGAUCAGAUACCGCCGUAGUCUUAACCAUAAACUAUGCCGACUAGGGAUCGGAUGAUGUUAAUUUUUUAAUGACUCAUUCGGCGCCUUACG
Molecule: ribosomal RNA, 500 nt
Filed under: uncultured Glomeromycotina
Lineage: Eukaryota; Fungi; Glomeromycota
Description: partial small subunit ribosomal RNA
Rfam family: Eukaryotic small subunit ribosomal RNA
Source: RNAcentral